AAGGAUCAUUACUGAAUUGUUGACACGAGCUGUUGCUGGUCCUCAAAUGGGGGCAGGUGCACGCUCUGUUUACACAUCCACUCACACCUGUGCACCCCUGUAGUUCUCUGGUUCGGGAGGCCCUGCCUUCCUUCCGUAGUCCUACCUCUUUUACACACACACAUCAAUGAAGUCUUGUGGAAUGUAUGCAGCGUUUAACGCAAUACAAUACAACUUUCAGCAACGGAUCUCUUGGCUCUCGCAUCGAUGAAGAACGCAGCGAAAUGCGAUAAGUAAUGUGAAUUGCAGAAUUCAGUGAAUCAUCGAAUCUUUGAACGCACCUUGCGCCCUUUGGCUAUUCUGAAGGGCAUGCCUGUUUGAGUAUCAUGAACACCUCAACUCUCAUGGUUUUCUGUGAUGAGCUUGGACCGUGGGGGUUUGUUGGCCUUUGGUCAACUCCUCUCAAAUGAAUCAGCUUGCCAGAGUUUGGUGGCAUCACAGGUGUGAUAACUAUCUACGCUUGUCGUUGUUGACCAGGUACCCUCCGGUUUCGGGGGUCCUCUGGAGCUUAUAAAUGUCUCUCCUCAGUGAAGACAACCAUUUAAAGUUCGAUCUCAAAUCAGGUAGGACUACCCGCUGAACUUAA
This 625-nucleotide ribosomal RNA is filed under the name uncultured fungus. Its description in RNAcentral is "eukaryotic LSU rRNA". The stretch from base 212 to 366 matches the Rfam family "5.8S ribosomal RNA". Lineage: Eukaryota; Fungi. The record is from RNAcentral.